RNAcentral lists this ribosomal RNA (481 nucleotides) under uncultured bacterium. RNAcentral describes it as "partial 16S ribosomal RNA". It matches the Rfam family "Bacterial small subunit ribosomal RNA", at positions 28 to 507 of the family's 1533-position model. The record is from RNAcentral.
GACGAACGUUGGCGGCGUGCUUAAUACAUGCAAGUCAACUGAAGCAGUGGUAGCAAUAUCGCUGUGGAGGUGGCGCACGGGUGAGUAACACGUAGGUAAUCUGCCUUCAGGUCUGGCAUAACUCCGGGAAACCGGGGCUAAUAGCAGAUGAUGCAGCGGCUCGACAUCGAGACAGUUGUUAAAGCUAUGGCGCCUGAAGAUGAGCCUGCGUCUGAUUAGCUAGUUGGCGGGGUAACGGCCCACCAAGGCAACGAUCAGUAGCUGGUCUGAGAGGAUGAUCAGCCACACUGGAACUGAGACACGGUCCAGACUCCUACGGGAGGCAGAAGUAAGGAAUAUUGCUCAAUGGGAGAAAUCCUGAAGCAGCAACGCCGCGUGAGGGACGAAGGGCUUUUGCUUGUAAACCUCUGUAGUGAGAGAAAAAAAUCACAAUCUUUGGGACAUGAUGGUAUCUCAAAAGUAAGCCCCGGCUAACUACGUG